GUGAGGAAUAUUGGACAAUGGGCGCAAGCCUGAUCCAGCCAUGCCGCGUGCAGGAAGACGCAUCUAUGGUGUGUAAACUGCUUUUGUACGGGAAGAAACACUCCCUCGUGAGGGAGCUUGACGGUACCGUAAGAAUAAGGAUCGGCUAACUCCGUGCCAGCAGCCGCGGUAAUACGGAGGAUCCAAGCGUUAUCCGGAAUCAUUGGGUUAAAAGGGUCCGUAGGCGGUUUAAUAAGUCAGUGGUGAAAGCCCAUCGCUCAACGAUGGAACGGCCAUUGAUACUGUUAGACUUGAAUUACAAGGAAGUAACUAGAAUAUGUAGUGUAGCGGUGAAAUGCUUAGAUAUUACAUGGAAUACCAAUUGCGAAGGCAGGUUACUACUUGUGGAUUGACGCUGAUGGACGAAAGCGUGGGGAGCGAACAGGAUUAGAUACCCUGGUAGUCC
This 445-nucleotide ribosomal RNA is filed under the name uncultured bacterium. RNAcentral's name for it is "partial 16S ribosomal RNA". It matches the Rfam family "Bacterial small subunit ribosomal RNA", at positions 354 to 796 of the family's 1533-position model. The record is from RNAcentral.